RNAcentral lists this ribosomal RNA (1168 nucleotides) under uncultured Bacteroides sp. RNAcentral describes it as "bacterial SSU rRNA". It matches the Rfam family "Bacterial small subunit ribosomal RNA", at positions 10 to 1176 of the family's 1533-position model. The record is from RNAcentral. Lineage: Bacteria; Pseudomonadati; Bacteroidota; Bacteroidia; Bacteroidales; Bacteroidaceae.
AGUUUGAUCCUGGCUCAGGAUGAACGCUAGCUACAGGCUUAACACAUGCAAGUCGAGGGGCAGCAUUGGAGUAGCAAUACUUCAGAUGGCGACCGGCGCACGGGUGAGUAACACGUAUCCAACCUGCCGCUUACUCGGGGAUAGCCUUUCGAAAGAAAGAUUAAUACCCGAUGGUAUAAAGAGUUCGCAUGUUCUCUUUAUUAAAGAAUUUCGGUAAGCGAUGGGGAUGCGUUCCAUUAGAUUGUUGGCGGGGUAACGGCCCACCAAGUCUACGAUGGAUAGGGGUUCUGAGAGGAAGGUCCCCCACAUUGGAACUGAGACACGGUCCAAACUCCUACGGGAGGCAGCAGUGAGGAAUAUUGGUCAAUGGACGAGAGUCUGAACCAGCCAAGUAGCGUGAAGGAUGACUGCCCUAUGGGUUGUAAACUUCUUUUAUAAGGGAAUAAAGUGAGGGACGUGUCCCUUUUUGUAUGUACCUUAUGAAUAAGGAUCGGCUAACUCCGUGCCAGCAGCCGCGGUAAUACGGAGGAUCCGAGCGUUAUCCGGAUUUAUUGGGUUUAAAGAGAGCGUAGGUUGACAUAUAAGUCAGCUGUGAAAGUUUACGGCUCAACCGUGAAAUUGCAGUUGAUACUGUAUGUCUUGAGUGUACAAGAGGUGGGCGGAAUUCGUGGUGUAGCGGUGAAAUGCUUAGAUAUCACGAAGAACUCCAAUUGCGAAGGCAGCUCACUGGGGUACAACUGACACUGAGGCUCGAAAGUGUGGGUAUCAAACAGGAUUAGAUACCCUGGUAGUCCACACAGUAAACGAUGAAUACUCGCUGUUUGCGAUAUACAGUAAGCGGCCAAGCGAAAGCAUUAAGUAUUCCACCUGGGGAGUACGCCGGCAACGGUGAAACUCAAAGGAAUUGACGGGGGCCCGCACAAGCGGAGGAACAUGUGGUUUAAUUCGAUGAUACGCGAGGAACCUUACCCGGGCUUGAAUUGCAGAGGAACAUAGUUGAAAGAUUAUGGCCGCAAGGUCUCUGUGAAGGUGCUGCAUGGUUGUCGUCAGCUCGUGCCGUGAGGUGUCGGCUUAAGUGCCAUAACGAGCGCAACCCUUAUCAUUAGUUACUAACAGGUCAUGCUGAGGACUCUAGUGAGACUGCCGUCGUAAGAUGUGAGGAAGGUGG